This 1317-nucleotide unclassified non-coding RNA is filed under the name Hevea brasiliensis (rubber tree). The record is from RNAcentral. Lineage: Eukaryota; Viridiplantae; Streptophyta; Magnoliopsida; Malpighiales; Euphorbiaceae.
GCCUUAAGGCUGUUGCAAUCAUUCUCAUUACAGUUCAGUACCAGAGGAGAAUUACAGAUGAAAUUUGUUAUGCUAUUCAUGCACCAAAUCAGUGCGAUCAGUCAUUUACUCAGUUUUCCUCCUCAACUAUUUUAAUACUUCUCAUCCGAGAACACAGAUCAUGUACCAUGUAAAAAUGGCACCACUGAUCAAUAUUUUUUAUUUGAAUCUACAAAAUUGAGUAACAUGAAUUUUUAAGUGGGGCUUACAUAACAAGCCUGUCGGAUGCCUAUCUUUAUCAUUCGGCUAAAAGGGGGCUGCUUUGUUCUAACAGCAUGAAAGUCAGAAACUUAUUGUAUCCUACGUAUUUGUUUGUCUCGUUACAUUACACGCUGUUAAUGUACAUGAUGUCCUCCUUUGAUAUCUGCAUCUUUCCUUUGUCUCGUUUACCAUUAGUUUUAGUCCGGUCUGGUUGGCCACGCUUCUUCAACACAAAUGCCAAAUACAAAUAAGCCACUUCCCAUUCAUCGGGCGAUAAUGUGCUCUGGUCUUGGUUACCAUCACCCAAAGCACCAAGCCUUCGCAUCAAAUCAAUAUAUUCUGGUUUUUUCAAAUACUCAUGAACAAAUUCAUGCGCAUUCUUCACAAAAAUUAGCUCCAAAUCAUACUCUUCUGCCAAUGAUUUGAAGAUAUUGAAAGGGACAAUCCAUUCAGGACAAUCAACGGCAUCCUCCAGGUGGAACUUGUAUUUGAUACCAUAAGGGCUUGAAUGUUUAAAUUUCUUUUCAGAGUACUCUUCAUCAAAUCGUAUCCAGUAGACACUAUUACCAAAAGCUAGUCCUUUAGCUUCUCUAAGCUUUUUGACAAUAACAUUAGCAUCUGGCAUUGUUCCAAUGAAGAUGCCUCCUGGACGAAGUAAGGCCGACACAUUGGCCAAGGCUCUUCGAGCGCGUGCUUCAGUAGACCAGGAAUAAUGCAGAGCAAACUGACAACUGCAGAUAUCAAAAGGAGCAUCAUCUGCCAAUACUUUGUCCAAGCGAACCUCAUAACAAUCACCACAUAUGAGGCGGGCAGGAAAAGAGGACUUUCUGCGACGCUGGUGAUGAUCAGCAUCACCAUUGUAGCGCGUGCGGCAAUCUUCUAUCGAGCCUUCAGCAAUAUCAAUGCCAACAUAAUAACCAAUUUUUGCUUUAUCCCAUUUGAUAAGAUCACCACCCUUGCCACAAGCAAGAUCGAGAACAACAUCCCCUCGGCGAGCAUAAAGUUGAACCAAGACACUUUUUAUCCAAUUGUUCAGUUUCUUUAAAUGGAUAAUUGGACUCGCUUCUCGUUCUUCCA